This 253-nucleotide ribosomal RNA is filed under the name uncultured bacterium. RNAcentral describes it as "partial 16S ribosomal RNA". It matches the Rfam family "Bacterial small subunit ribosomal RNA", at positions 524 to 776 of the family's 1533-position model. The record is from RNAcentral. RNAcentral also lists the same sequence under 2 other names.
UACGAAGGGGGCUAGCGUUGUUCGGAUUUACUGGGCGUAAAGCGCACGUAGGCGGAUUGGUCAGUUAGGGGUGAAAUCCCAGAGCUCAACUCUGGAACUGCCUUUAAUACUGCCAGUCUCGAGUCCGGAAGAGGUAAGUGGAACUCCUAGUGUAGAGGUGGAAUUCGUAGAUAUUAGGAAGAACACCAGUGGCGAAGGCGGCUUACUGGUCCGGUACUGACGCUGAGGUGCGAAAGCGUGGGGAGCAAACAGG